This is an RNA transcript of Cloeon dipterum, 1017 nucleotides long. It is a transcript of the gene named fatty acid hydroxylase domain-containing protein 2-like, with no coding region annotated. The transcript is spliced from 4 exons. Lineage: Eukaryota; Metazoa; Arthropoda; Insecta; Ephemeroptera; Baetidae. The record is from RefSeq and is a predicted model, not a curated record.
GCUGCGGAAUCACAGUUUAGUUUGUAUAAACGAACAGUGUGUACCUAACCACGGUACAAAAUGGGUUUAAAUUUUAAAGGGAUUAGACCAGCAGUGCUGCACAUGUGCAAGCACUCGUUAAUUCUCUUCUUACACUACUACAUACUCAUCAAUGCGACAAGUCGUAUUUGUAUUUUCCGAUCUCAGAAUAUUGUUCUUCGUGACUGGAGGAUUUUCCCUAGAGGAAUAUUUCGUACGAUGGUGGCAGAGAUUCUGCUUGAGAUUCGGAGAUCAACCUCUUCUAUUUUUUACAGUUUGUACAACUGUAAUUUCCACGGUGGUGUAUUGGCUGAUAGGAAGUUUUUUCAUUGUGCUUGACAACACAGGAUGGCUCUCGAAAUACAAAGUGCAGCCGGGCACCAACCAGCCUCCGGAUUCUGCGAAGUUGCGCAAAGUGAUCAUCACCGUCUUAAAGAGCCAGUUGCUCUUCGCCACACCCUACACAGUGCUCGGAUAUUUUGCCCUGCAAAUCGUUGGAGGGCCGAUGACCAUGCAGCGCUUGCUUCAGGUGCCUUCUCUGGAGCGCAUUUUGCUGGAGCUCGCUUUUCACGAUUUCGUGUACGAAGUGACUUUCUACUUAUCGCACAAGCUGCUGCACACAAAGUGGCUUUAUAAGCGAGUUCACAAGACGCACCACGAAUGGGCGCCGCCGAUAGCGGUGGCAGCGGCAUACGCACACCCGUUUGAAUAUGUCGUAUCCAACACAACUCCCAUCAGCGCCGGCCCCAUUAUCAUUGGCUCCCAUCCUCUCUCUAUUUGGACCUGGGUAGCGUACCUCACGCUGCAAACCCUCACAGUGCACUCCAAUUACCAUUUGCCAGGAUUUCAAAAUCCUUUAUUUCACGAUUUUCACCAUGUCAAGUUCAAUCAAAAUUACGGUUCGGUGGGAUUCAUGGACCGAUUAUUUGGCACUGAUGAGCUUUUCCAAAAAAAUAAAAGCAAGAAAUAUUGGGACAAGUAGCACUUUGAAUUAGUAAA